Molecule: transfer RNA, 72 nt
Filed under: Ecytonucleospora hepatopenaei
Lineage: Eukaryota; Fungi; Microsporidia; Enterocytozoonidae
Description: Enterocytozoon sp. ST-2009a tRNA
Rfam family: tRNA
About the family: Transfer RNA (tRNA) molecules are approximately 80 nucleotides in length. Their secondary structure includes four short double-helical elements and three loops (D, anti-codon, and T loops).
Source: Rfam by way of RNAcentral
GUCCUCCUCGUAUAAUGGUUAGUACAGUAGUCUCAUAAUCUACAGAUUCGGGUUCAAUUCCCGAGGAAGACA